This 1313-nucleotide long non-coding RNA is filed under the name Homo sapiens (human). RNAcentral's name for it is "HSALNT0393163". Lineage: Eukaryota; Metazoa; Chordata; Mammalia; Primates; Hominidae. The record is from RNAcentral.
CCUAGGCCUCGACUGACACACACAAGGCACUACUCUCCCAGAGGGGUUCAGCAUGGUGCCCUCAGCCGAUCCUAGAGCCAAAGGGCCCAUGGACGAGCGUUGCUCAAUGUCUGCAGAGUGUUCCAGCAAGGUUCCCAGCUCAGACUCCAGCUUUGGAUAAAGAACACUAUUUCUUUAGUUAUUUAGCAAAAUUAAACUUUGUGUUAUCUGCUGCAAGAGCACCAAGGGGGAGAAAUCAGUUAAUUUUUUUUAAAUUUUGAGAUGGAGUCUUGCUAUGAAGUGAUGUGAUCUCGGCUCACUGCAACUUCUGCCUGCUGGGUUCAAGUGAUUCCCUGCCUUAGCCUCCCGAGUAGCUGGGACUCCAGGUGCCUGCCGCCACACUCAGCUAAUUUUUGUUUUGUUUUGUUUUGUUUUGUAAUUUUAGUAGAGACAUGGUUUCACCAUAUUGGCCAGGCUGGUCUCGAACUCCUGACCUCAGGUGAUCCACCUGCCUCGGCCUCCCAAAGUGCUGGGAUUACAGACGUGAGCCACCGAGCCUGGCCAAAUCAGUUAAUUAUAUUAGUAUUUACGUGGUCUUAAGAUCUUAGCUUAAUGAACCAAAUGUGAUUUGUCAAAAUUGACAACUGGGAAGGAAGGCCAAGAAUCUGAAAGAAAGACCAGAGAUUAUGCACAAACUGGAACAGCAGAUGAAUACCCAAGUGGACAAGGCAGACUUCUGAUCAUGCAGCAUCCACAUCUUCAUGUUCAUGAGGCAAAUAACCUCCUCUUUUCUAGCACUGGGGCACUGGAGUGAGGAUGAUAAUCAUUUUAUCUCGUGGAUCUGGUCCUGUUUCCAGUAGUCACACUGCUCUGGCAUGGUGCUGGCAUCAACUCUUCAUAAAACUGCCAGAUCCAGAUCUUAGCCAACGUUAAAUUCUUGGCGAGGGCCUUGCGAACCUUCUUAGAAAUUACCUUACAAUCUUAACAACCAGAAGAAAAAAAAUAAAGGUGAACCUUGUUCAUGAUGAUCUGAAUGAACAGAAUUAUUUCACCACAUCCUUUCUGGAAAUUGUUUCAUUAUAUUUUCAGAGCAACUACUAUUCUAUGUGUAAUUUUUAUAAAACAAAACAAAACUAAAUCAAAAGUACAGGGCCAAAUAAAAAGAGUUGAAAAGAAAGCUUGGCCUAUUUAACUUUGGUUAUAGAUGGGCAGAAGAUAAGAAAAAAUGUAUUGGGUUUGCUAUCAAUGUGAAAGGGAACUAAUUCCUUAUAAUAAGGAAUUUUAUGAGAGAGAGAGAGAGAGCACUUAAAACUAUAUUCCUGGUUGGUAUGUGG